GUUCUGCAUCGGGCCUGACUCAUGCGCAGUCAUAUCCUGCCGACACCCAUGUGCAGGCCUGGUCCUACACCAUGUGUGUAUCGUGACAGGGGCGUGACUCCAGCUGAAAAUAUGAUCCUCCUUCCGCCGGCCCGCCGGUCUCAACGCUUAGGGGGGCACAAACUGGGCGUGUUCUCUCCGAUGACUUUCCCUGCUGGGCAUCUAUUCCCCUCCCUGAAGAGGAGACCAGCUCCAGCUGCUACCGCAGUAGGAGCACUACAAAUCAAUUCUGACAGCGAAGCGGGGCGCUCCCUGGAACGAAGAAGGCAAAUAACCACAAGACAGACAAGAGAGAGAGUCUCUGUCUGUCUGUUCAUGGGAAACCUGCUCCCGGCCUGCACAUGGAAGCCCUUCUCCACUGCUGAAUACGUCACCG
Molecule: long non-coding RNA, 415 nt
Organism: Gasterosteus aculeatus aculeatus (three-spined stickleback)
Lineage: Eukaryota; Metazoa; Chordata; Actinopteri; Perciformes; Gasterosteidae
Source: Ensembl